Molecule: long non-coding RNA, 1043 nt
Organism: Zalophus californianus (California sea lion)
Lineage: Eukaryota; Metazoa; Chordata; Mammalia; Carnivora; Otariidae
Exons: 3
Source: RefSeq, a predicted model, not a curated record
UCAGAUCAGAUGUGACACCUGGGAAGGAAAGAGCCAGGAGGAGCCACCAUUGUCCUGCAGAUGCGACAGAGGCCCGACCAGCCCAGCGGAGAGGUCUAGAGCAAAAACGUUACCAUCGGUGGCUCUAUUGCCGGACUGCAGACGGCAGCAGCGCCUCCUGUCCGCUCACGCAGCCCCUCCCCGCUGAAUGGCAAGCUGUUCCUGGGAGGACCUGCGCAAGCACUGUCCCCACCACAGAGAGGGAGGCCACCGGCACCAGAUGAUGGUCAUGCAAGCACGGAAAAGGAGUUCACUGCGCUCCAUCCGAUGUCACUGAAGUUAUUGGCAACGGGAAUGGAGUGGACUGCAUGGCCUCUAACAUUUCCUACUUCCUAUGCCUACUGGUCGGCUGUGCCACAGAGAGACCAUAGCAGUGGGAAACACCUUUACUACGGAAGUCGCUUCGAAUAUAAUCAUGUCAUAUUUUACAGACUGUUUUCUUUUAUCAACCCCACUUCAUGUCAUGUUUUACUUUAUGUUAUUGGAAGACAUGAAGACAAAGACAUAAAAAUGCACCUUUGGGCCUUUGUGACUUCACCAUUGGACUACAUACAAAUGUCUAUGUAACAGUAUUUCUUAAUAUGAGUUUGGCCCCCACUAAAUCAUUUUCACCCCCUGUGCCACAUUCUUUAUCAGUAGCAUUCUUGUUCCUUUGAUGAAGGGCAGAGGUCAAGGUGAAUUUCAUUUUUCACUUAACUAGAAACUUUAACGUGACGUGACAUUUUUCAUUUACACCUGUCAUUGGAAACUAUAAACCCAACACUUAAAUGGAGCAGUUGUGGCAUCACCUGUGGCAUCAAGCUAAAAGAUAUCAUCAGAAGCAGCUUGCCAUUUUCAAGGGUCCAGAAAGGCACUCAAACACUUUUGUUUUUGCUCUAAUACGAUUUUCUUUUGAGCUUGACAUAUGUACUACAGAUAAAAUCUUGUAUAACUUGAUAUUUUCCUUUGGACUAUAACCUCUAGGUGACAGUCAAUAUUACUGAAUAAAUGAUUCCAUACAGGAA